RNAcentral lists this unclassified non-coding RNA (249 nucleotides) under Hevea brasiliensis (rubber tree). Lineage: Eukaryota; Viridiplantae; Streptophyta; Magnoliopsida; Malpighiales; Euphorbiaceae. The record is from RNAcentral.
AAUGGGUGAAUCAUCAAGCUCAGACGUGCAAGGACCAAUGGAGCUAAAUUCAAGUAACAGAGAAUUAGGCUAUAUUGCUAUCAACUUAUCAUUUUAGGGAAAAAGAUAAUAAUGAGGGGGAGAGAGAAAGAGGGAGCAUGGCGAAAAAUGUCACAGAAUCUAAUUUUGUUCACAUGUAGUGUUGGUUGUAAUAAUUAUUGUUUGGUUGGUAGAAAUUAUGUAAGAUGUUGAGCUAUCAACUCUCUCUCU